RNAcentral lists this ribosomal RNA (1020 nucleotides) under Pseudopyrenochaeta lycopersici. RNAcentral describes it as "SSU rRNA". It matches the Rfam family "Eukaryotic small subunit ribosomal RNA", at positions 75 to 1105 of the family's 1831-position model. Lineage: Eukaryota; Fungi; Ascomycota; Dothideomycetes; Pleosporales; Pseudopyrenochaetaceae. The record is from RNAcentral.
UAUACCGUGAAACUGCGAAUGGCUCAUUAAAUCAGUUAUCGUUUAUUUGAUAGUACCUUACUACUUGGAUAACCGUGGUAAUUCUAGAGCUAAUACAUGCUUAAAACCCCAACUUCGGGAGGGGUGUAUUUAUUAGAUAAAAAACCAACGCCCUUCGGGGCUUCUUGGUGAUUCAUGAUAACUUUACGGAUCGCAUGGCCUUGCGCCGGCGACGGUUCAUUCAAAUUUCUGCCCUAUCAACUUUCGAUGGUAAGGUAUUGGCUUACCAUGGUUUCAACGGGUAACGGGGAAUUAGGGUUCGAUUCCGGAGAGGGAGCCUGAGAAACGGCUACCACAUCCAAGGAAGGCAGCAGGCGCGCAAAUUACCCAAUCCCGACACGGGGAGGUAGUGACAAUAAAUACUGAUACAGGGCUCUUUUGGGUCUUGUAAUUGGAAUGAGUACAAUUUAAACCUCUUAACGAGGAACAAUUGGAGGGCAAGUCUGGUGCCAGCAGCCGCGGUAAUUCCAGCUCCAAUAGCGUAUAUUAAAGUUGUUGCAGUUAAAAAGCUCGUAGUUGAAACUUGGGUCUGGCUGGCAGGUCCGCCUCACCGCGUGUACUUGUCCGGCCGGGCCUUCCUUCUGGAGAACCUCAUGCCCUUCACUGGGCGUGUUGGGGACCAGGACUUUUACUUUGAAAAAAUUAGAGUGUUCAAAGCAGGCCUUUGCUCGAAUACGUUAGCAUGGAAUAAUAGAAUAGGACGUGCGGUUCUAUUUUGUUGGUUUCUAGGACCGCCGUAAUGAUUAAUAGGGACAGUCGGGGGCAUCAGUAUUCAAUUGUCAGAGGUGAAAUUCUUGGAUUUAUUGAAGACUAACUACUGCGAAAGCAUUUGCCAAGGAUGUUUUCAUUAAUCAGUGAACGAAAGUUAGGGGAUCGAAGACGAUCAGAUACCGUCGUAGUCUUAACCGUAAACUAUGCCGACUAGGGAUCGGGCGAUGUUCUUUUUUUGACUCGCUCGGCACCUUACGAGAAAUCAAAGUU